CUCCUUGCCUCACUUUUCCUCAAAGGCAGUAUUCUAAAAUACAUUCGUACAUAUAUACGAUGUUGUGAGAAGCCGUACAGUUGUAUAACACAACUAAAGUAGCAAUCUAUUUGUUAAAUUUUAUGGUGAGUGUGGAUUCAUUCAAAACUUCCAUCCCCAUCACUACCUUCAUCCAUCCGACCAUUCAAGCUUCGAACCUUAGAUUCUGUGGAUCAAACCAUUGGUGGAUAUCCCGUGGCUGCCUCAAUUCUAUUCUACUU
Molecule: long non-coding RNA, 260 nt
Organism: Arabidopsis thaliana (thale cress)
Lineage: Eukaryota; Viridiplantae; Streptophyta; Magnoliopsida; Brassicales; Brassicaceae
Product: other RNA
Exons: 1
Source: RefSeq